RNA transcript from Rhodamnia argentea, 2666 nucleotides. It is a transcript of the gene named ABC transporter I family member 11, chloroplastic, with no coding region annotated. The transcript has 11 exons. NCBI's taxonomy places the organism in Eukaryota, Viridiplantae, Streptophyta, Magnoliopsida, Myrtales, Myrtaceae. The record is from RefSeq and is a predicted model, not a curated record.
GUUCAUUUCGACAGAAAAUUCUCAAGUGCGAGAGAGAGAGAGAAGAUCGGUUAUGGCGAGCUCCGCGUUUGCGUCUUCUUGGUCGCUCAGUUUGCUGAAGCUCCAAGACCAGGCGUCGCCGGCGACAGCAAAGUCAAGCACCAGAUUACGAUUCCGUGAAGGUGGAUUAGGCAGAAUUUGCUGCGAUCAUUCCUGCUUCGAAGCUAAAAGUGUUGGCUACCGUCCACCGGGGACCCAGUUCAACCUUCUCAAAGAUGUUAGUUUUUCCCUCCCUGAGAAAAGUUUUGGCUUGAUUUUUGGUCAGAGUGGAAGUGGAAAAACUACUCUAUUGCAGCUUCUUGCAGGACUCAACAAACCAACUUCAGGUUCUAUCUGCAUUCAAAGAUAUGGCGACAGUGGUGAACAUAAAGGACCUCCUGAACAUUUGUCUCCGGAGAAAGUUGGCAUUGUCUUUCAGUUUCCUGAGAGGUAUUUCAUUGCUGACAAUGUGCUGGAUGAAAUUACAUUUGGAUGGCCAAGGCAAAAAGUUAGCAUUCAGUUGAAGGAGCAACUUGCUUUCAAACUUCAAAGAGCUUUCAAUUGGGUUGGAUUGGACAGAAUUUCCUUAGACAAGGAUCCUCACUCCCUAAGUGGUGGCUACAAACGUCGACUUGCUCUGGCAAUCCAAUUGGUUGAAGUUCCAGAUUUGUUGAUAUUGGAUGAACCUCUGGCUGGUCUUGAUUGGAAAGCACGUGCAGAUGUCGUGAAGCUUUUAAAGCAUCUGAAAAGAGAAGUAACGAUACUUGUUGUCAGCCAUGACUUGAGGGAAUUAGCUUCUUUGGUAGAUCGAUCUUGGAGAAUGGAAAUGGGAGGAACUCUGAGAGAAGAUUCGCUGCCGCCUUUGUAGAGACGCCAUAAAUUGCCACCUAAGACACCGGUAUUAUUUCUGUCAUGUAAUUUCCAACAAAUGGUUUUUUCUUUACUUUUUUUUUAUCAUAACCUUGACAAGGGAACAUUUAAUGCCCAUAAAGGCAUUUUCAUGAAUAUACACAUGGAGAAAGCUAAUAUAUGUGAGGGGGAUACUGAAAGAAGAGCAAGUUAGAGGACCUCAUAUGUCACAUGAAUUUGCCACCAAACUCACUUAACAGUUGAUACAGAUUGGAAACUGUAAGCUCAAUAUUUUUUGGUCCCAGUGAUUGGAGUUUGGGACAAGAUUUGAUUGUACUUGCUUGUUGGCAUUUGCGGCAUCAAUUUCUUUUGUCAAAUGGGAUUCUGAUUUUCUUGCUCUUGUUUAGCACCAGUAGCGAAGCUCCUUGGACUUUGACUUACUUUUCAAAGAUGCAACACGUUUAAGUGGACUUCUAGCAUGUGGAGAAAGGAGUUAUUGACUGCCAAACAUCCAUGUUACAACUCAAGAGAAGGCACUGACUGUAGGAUCCACCUUGAUGACUUUCAUACAUGAGCCACAAUAUAAUUCACUAGUAGAAGACCUGUAUCACUAUCGGGUUCUUAUGUUUUUGAACUUGCUUGAAGGUAUUCCUAAAUAUAUAUGAUCUUAAGUGUUGUCCUCUAAUAAUCCUCCCAGAAUGAACUAUUCUUUUAAAUAAUAUUUUAGCAUCCUUUUUUCAGCUUUGUAUGCUCUUGUGAUUAAUUUGUUAACUCCCAGUUUUAUCGAACUCGCCUUACUUACUAUUUAGAAUAAUGUCUAGCUAGAUGUUACAAUCUACAUGUGUUAUUGCAAUGUAUUGGUUGAAUAUGAGUGUACUAGGUUUUUCAAUUUCCCCCACUAAGGUGUGUAUGAUCGUUAGAGAGUAAUGGAGUACCUGCCUCUAUUUAUUAUGCAUGUAUUCUGGAAUAGUUUGUUUAAUUUAUCUAUUUAUUUUCCUUCAUGCAUGUUGCUUAUAUUUCUGUGUGGUAAUAGUCAAAGCAAUAAUAUGCUGGAACUGUUUUCUCCCUUGGGCAUUUUUUUUUUUACGGAUAUUACCGUAUCAUCCAAAUGGUAUUUCUUUUAAAAAAAUCUUCUUGUUUGUAAAUUAUGUCGUGUAAUUUGAAAUAUAACUACAAUUCUUGGCACGCAUUUAUUUAAUUUGUGUAAUACUUGAGAGAAUAUAUAGUAUGCCUAAUUGAGAGUACCAUAUGAGGACAAUAUGCAACUGAAUAUUGCUCUAUUUAAUUAAUUAAAAUACUUAAUAAAAAUUUUAAGAGCAUAUACCUUGAUGUUUUUCAACUUCACUCGAAAUAUGUUACGUAAGUUAAGUAAAUCUAUGCCAUAAUCUGUACUAAACAAUUGUUAAGUUGUAUUUGUAGGUAAUAUUAUGGUUAGAGUUACAAGGAAUAAAUCAAGAUUCUUUCUGUUUCGAGUAAUGUGAUUUCGGCUUUAAUUUGUGAGAAUAGCAGAGCCAGCAGAGUUGAGUCUUGUGGCUGUGUGGUACAUGGCUCAACCACGACAGUUGUACCGAUUUUUCUAUUUUCCUACUGGAUAUUCUUUGGACGAUGGAGCUUGCUGAAUUCAGGCUUAUGCUACUAAUUAGAAAGUUGAGCACUCCACCUUUUAGACUUUCAAUAUGCGGUUUAUAAGUCCAGUGCUGGGUAUUAUAUAGUUUGUAGUUUUCUUCUGUGACGAAUUUGGACUUAAUUUUGGAAAUGGAGCAUUCAGAUUCCAGCUUAUGCGACUACUCGAGAAAGUU